Molecule: long non-coding RNA, 532 nt
Filed under: Marmota monax (woodchuck)
Lineage: Eukaryota; Metazoa; Chordata; Mammalia; Rodentia; Sciuridae
Source: RNAcentral
UUUUUUUUCUUCAAACAAGGCUUAUUGUUAAAUAUAAAUCAUGGGAAUCAGAGUUUUGGACUAGGGUUCUGCUGUAGGCCCCAACAAUCCAAGCUAAAUAUCAAAAUGGAGUUAUUCAUCUUAAAGUCCCAGUCAACAAGUGAUCUAAAUUUCUGAGAAACUAGGAUUAGAGAGACUACCAUCCACAUUUCCCAUGCAAGCCUGUUUAAAUUGGCAUGAUAAUGAAGUUCCUUUGAUCAUAAUCCUCACACAAAAAAAGUAACAGGAAAUAAUCUGAUGUUAACUAGUUAUUUCUCCAUCAUUCUGUCUUCUUAUCCUUUUCCUACAGGGAAAGUAACUUGCCUUUUAUUUUUGUUUCUGCUUGCUUUAUUCCUUGUCUACAAAAUCAGCCUCCUCUGCUGUGCUUAUUGGAACACUUAUUUUGUUGGAAUGAAACAAAUAGAAUGAAGGUGUUGCCUACCUACAAUCAAAUAUAAAGUCAAUUAAGAUCCUUAAAUUGGGGCUGGGAUUGUGGCUCAGUGGUAGAGCGAUC